UUUAGAGAUAAAGCGGAGGUAUUCGGGGAGGACAGGUGGUGCAUGGUUGUCGUCAGCUCGUGUCGUGAGAUGUGGGUUAAGUCCCGCAACGAGCGCAACCCUAUUGCUAGUUACCAUCAUUAAGUUGGGGACUCUAGCGAGACUGCCAGUGAUAAACUGGAGGAAGGUGGGGAUGACGUCAAAUCAUCAUGCCCCUUAUGACCUGGGCUACAAACGUGAUACAAUGGCUGGAACAAAGGGAUGCGAAGCAGUGAUGUGGAGCGAAACCCAUAAAAACAGUCUCAGUUCGGAUUGAAGUCUGCAACUCGACUUCAUGAAGUCGGAAUCGCUAGUAAUCGCGGAUCAGAACGCCGCGGUGAAUACGUUCUCGGGGUUU
This 376-nucleotide ribosomal RNA is filed under the name uncultured Acholeplasma sp. RNAcentral's name for it is "bacterial SSU rRNA". It matches the Rfam family "Bacterial small subunit ribosomal RNA", at positions 999 to 1382 of the family's 1533-position model. Lineage: Bacteria; Bacillati; Mycoplasmatota; Mollicutes; Acholeplasmatales; Acholeplasmataceae. The record is from RNAcentral.